UCGAUGGUAGGAUAGAGGCCUACUAUGGUGGUGACGGGUGACGGAGAAUUAGGGUUCGAUUCCGGAGAGGGAGCCUGAGAAACGGCUACCACAUCCAGGGAAGGCAGCAGGCGCGCAAAUUACCCAAUCCCGACACGGGGAGGUAGUGACAAUAAAUAACAAUACGGGGCUCUUUCGGGUCUCGUAAUUGGAAUGAGUACAAUUUAAAUCCCUUAACGAGGAACAAUUGGAGGGCAAGUCUGGUGCCAGCAGCCGCGGUAAUUCCAGCUCCAAUAGCGUAUAUUAAAGUUGUUGCAGUUAAAAAGCUCGUAGUUGAAUUUCGGGAUUGACACAUCGGUCGUGCCUUAAGGGGUAUGAACUGGUGUAGUCAAUUUCUCACCUUCUGGAGAACCGCGAUGCCCUUAAUUGGGUGUCGCGGGGAACCAGGACCUUUACUUUGAAAAAAUUAGAGUGUUUAAAGCAGGCAUUUUGCUUGAAUACAUUAGCAUGGAAUAAUAAAAUAGGACGGCAUGAUUCUAUUUUGUUGGUUUCUAGGAUCACCGUAAUGAUUAAUAGGGAUAGUUGGGGGCAUUAGUAUUCAAUUGUCAGAGGUGAAAUUCUUGGAUUUAUUGAAGACUAACUACUGCGAAAGCAUUUGCCAAGGAUGUUUUCAUUAAUCAAGAACGAAAGUUAGGGGAUCGAAGACGAUCAGAUACCGUCGUAGUCUUAACCAUAAACUAUGCCGACUAGGAAUCAGACGAUGUUAAUUUUUUAAUGACUCGUUUGGCACCUUACGGGAAACCAAAGUGUUUGGGUUC
This 797-nucleotide ribosomal RNA is filed under the name uncultured Entrophospora. RNAcentral's name for it is "SSU rRNA". It matches the Rfam family "Eukaryotic small subunit ribosomal RNA", at positions 322 to 1114 of the family's 1831-position model. The record is from RNAcentral. Lineage: Eukaryota; Fungi; Glomeromycota; Glomeromycetes; Entrophosporales; Entrophosporaceae.